GCCGGGCGUGGUGGCGGGCGCCUGUAGUCCCAGCUACUCGGAGGCUGAGACAGGAGAAUGGCGUGAACCUGGGAGGCGGAGCUUGCAGUGAGCCGAGAUCGCACCACUGCACUCCAGCCUGGGUGACACAGCCAGACUCUGUCUCAA
Molecule: unclassified non-coding RNA, 147 nt
Organism: Papio anubis (olive baboon)
Lineage: Eukaryota; Metazoa; Chordata; Mammalia; Primates; Cercopithecidae
Rfam family: Metazoan signal recognition particle RNA
About the family: The signal recognition particle (SRP) is a universally conserved ribonucleoprotein.
Source: Ensembl